CUUGGUCAUUUAGAGGAAGUAAAAGUCGUAACAAGGUUUCCGUAGGUGAACCUGCGGAAGGAUCAUUAUUGGAAUGAAAUCUCUAGCAAGAGGCUGUUGCUGUCUAGUAAUGUGCACGCCUUUUGUAGAAAAAUAAACCCUUAGCAGCAACUUGUUUCG
This 159-nucleotide ribosomal RNA is filed under the name Amanita ochracea. RNAcentral's name for it is "partial 18S ribosomal RNA". The stretch from base 1 to 68 matches the Rfam family "Eukaryotic small subunit ribosomal RNA", at positions 1764 to 1831 of the family's 1831-position model. The record is from RNAcentral. Lineage: Eukaryota; Fungi; Basidiomycota; Agaricomycetes; Agaricales; Amanitaceae.